This 468-nucleotide ribosomal RNA is filed under the name uncultured bacterium. RNAcentral's name for it is "partial 16S ribosomal RNA". It matches the Rfam family "Bacterial small subunit ribosomal RNA", at positions 28 to 507 of the family's 1533-position model. The record is from RNAcentral.
GACGAACGCUGGCGGCGUGCUUAACACAUGCAAGUCGAACGGAAAGGCCCUGUUCUUGUGGGGUGCUCGUGUGGCGAAAGGGUGAGAAACACGCGAGUAACCUGCCCCUGACUUUGGGAUAACUUCAGGAAAAUGGGGCUAAUAUAGGAUAGGAGCUCUUGAUGCAUGGUGGGGGUUGGAAAGAUUCGGCGGUUUGGGAUGGAAUCGCGGCUUAUCAGCUUGUUGGUGGGGUAGUGGCUUACCAAGGCUUUGACGGGUAGCCGGCCUGGGAGGGUGACCGGCCACAAUGGGACUGGGGUACGGCCCAGACUCCUACUGGGGGCAUCGGUGGGAAAUAUUGCGCAAUAGGCCGAAGCCGGAAGCAACAACGCCGCGUGCGGGAUGACGGCCUUCAGGGUAUAAACCUCUUUCGCCUGGGACGAAGCGUGAGUGACGGUAAUUGGUAAAAAAGCACCGGCCAACUACGUG